GGGAGGCCAAAAUAAUGAGGAGAAUUGAAGGCCAUCAAUCCACUUCUCGCAUGUAGCGGCCAUGUAACUGUUGUCAAUCCAAGAAUUUUAUCGAUAUGAGAGGAUGCUCACAAGUAAGGCCAUCAAGUAUCACUACAACCAUCACCAAUCUAGGAUCCACAGAUUGUAAUUUCAACAUCUAGGAUCCUAGCAAAGGAUGGUCCAGAACUUCUAACGAGCAAAACCACCUCAGAGCUUCAUGGUAUCACUGAAUUAAUAUGCA
Molecule: long non-coding RNA, 262 nt
Filed under: Capsicum annuum
Lineage: Eukaryota; Viridiplantae; Streptophyta; Magnoliopsida; Solanales; Solanaceae
Description: long non-coding RNA (CANN_LNC021693)
Source: RNAcentral